RNAcentral lists this ribosomal RNA (270 nucleotides) under uncultured bacterium. RNAcentral's name for it is "partial 16S ribosomal RNA". It matches the Rfam family "Bacterial small subunit ribosomal RNA", at positions 793 to 1055 of the family's 1533-position model. The record is from RNAcentral.
GUCCACGCCGUAAACGAUGAUCACUGGACGUUGGUCGUGCAUAGCAUGAUCAGUGUCGAAGCUAACGCGUUAAGUGAUCCGCCUGGGGAGUACGAUCGCAAGAUUAAAACUCAAAGAAAUUGACGGGGGUCCGCACAAGCGGUGGAACAUGUGGUUUAAUUCGACACUACGCGAGAAACCUUACCUAGGCUUGACAUGUAACUGCUACCGGUAGAAACACUGGGUUCUGUAGAAAUACAGACGGUUACACAGGUGCUGCAUGGCUGUCGU